RNAcentral lists this unclassified non-coding RNA (1899 nucleotides) under Hevea brasiliensis (rubber tree). Lineage: Eukaryota; Viridiplantae; Streptophyta; Magnoliopsida; Malpighiales; Euphorbiaceae. The record is from RNAcentral.
UUUCAUCAGAAGGAAUAUAUUUUAUUUUGGCAAAUCUCACAGGAUGUUUUAAUAACAAUAUGAACAAAAUACACAAACCGUCUUAAUCAAAAUCAUUUGAUGUAAGCUAAUUAAAAGUGAUGUUAAAAGUAGUAGAUGUUAUAUACUUUGGUUUAAUUCCACUGACCUUCCCUUUUAAGGGCAUCUCUAUAAAAUUCUUGGUUCUUUAUUCAUGUUCAUAUGCUGCAUUUGACUCAUUGUCUUCAGCAUCUCAUUGGAGGAGAAUGUGAUACCUUGCGUCUUCAUUGGAACUGAUUUCUAGUCUGGAACUUCAGUGUUCGUCACCACAAAGCUAGGAAAUGCUUGAUUUAGUUCCUUGAGAUAUGGAAGAGUCAUGUUCUUUAUGAGAGAUGGAUUCUUCACUAUGAAUUCCUUCCAUUCUUCUUGAUCAAUUUUUCCAUCUCCUUUUGAAUCUGCUUCAACCAUUGUCUUAUCUACAAUGGAUUGAACAUCAUCAUUGGAAAGUGUCAUAUCUGAUUCACUCAAAAUAGCCAAUACCAUCUCCUUCAACUUCCAGUAUGACAGAAAUUCACAAAAUGGUUGAAAAUUAGAUUUGCAAAUAUUAAAUAAUCAUACAACAGUUAUUUCAUAAUAAUGCAAAUAAGAAAAAAAAAACAUGAUUUAGACACUACUCCCACCCAGAAGAGUAGAUUAUAUCACAAGACUAAGAGAUUUAAAGAAAAAUAAUAGCAAAUAAUCUUUCAAAGUUUUUCAGAAGUUUUGUGAUAAUGACUGACAGCUAAAAUUUGUCUUUUCUUCCCUUCACAACUUAUUGAUAUUGGCAUUUAACUGAUCUGACAAUCAGGCUAGGGAGUAUUGUGGUGUGCCAAGUUGGACAUCACUGUUUUACUUCCAUCUUUUUCCUCUGGUCUCAUUGUUUAUUUAAUUUAUCCAUGUAUCAAUGCUUUCUAUGAUGACAAUGAUUUCAGAUAAACAAUCUGGGAAGUUUCAAGCAAGAAUGAUCAACUAUCCCCAUGCAUUCACAAUAGGAUGCUUCAGUUUUGCUAUCAAAACUAUCACAAUAUUAAGUGCUCUUUUGUGAUACUCUUGAAUAUACAAGGAAAAAGGGGAUUGAUUUUUACCUCAUUACGCUCAAUAAAGCCAGUUUUCCGUAGAUCAUACAAUCUAAAUGCAACUGAAAGAAGAAUUUUUUUUUGGCAGUUUAGUGGUCAUAGAUGUGUUGAUACAACGCAUAAAGUUCCAUCUCACUAUCAAAAGUAACAUACAACAAAGAAGAAAUACAUGCAUGAAUACAACAUACAUAUAAUUUUGUCAGCUUCAGAAGCAUUUGGGUGGAAGAUGCUUAAUGACCGUACAAAUUCUCCAAAUUCAAUUACCCCAUUACUCUUGACAUCAAACAGAUCAAACAUCCUGUCUGCAAAAAGAUUCUGCUUACUGCUAUUUCUAAAAAGUGCAAGUCGGAAUUCUUCCUCUCCAGACUCCAGCUCUCAUAAGGAUAAAUAGCACACAUGGUGAGCCCAAAUGGUGGUACCUUGUGAACUAGACCAUCAUCAAUUAUGGCACUACUCAGCUUCUUGAAUAGAUCAUACAAAGCCUCUAUUUCAUUGACAGAAAACGGUGUCUCAGAAGCAAGCAUGAUAGGAUCCUCAUACCCUGGAUGUUUUCUUGAUCGCUUCAAGCUAAAGCAGCAUUUGAAAGCACGCAUUUUAACACACAAUUAUGUGCAAAAGGAAGCACAAGGAGUUUAUGCCAACCUGUUUUCAGACGGAUAUCCUGGAUAGCGUUCUUGAAGCUAUGAAGAGUUGUUCAUUUUCACUUCCCCAACCAUACAACAGAGCUUUUCUAUUCUUCUCCCCCUGGUAGCCCUUGGGAAGACAAUUAAUUUACGGUAAAUUAUAA